This 492-nucleotide ribosomal RNA is filed under the name uncultured bacterium. RNAcentral's name for it is "partial 16S ribosomal RNA". It matches the Rfam family "Bacterial small subunit ribosomal RNA", at positions 29 to 507 of the family's 1533-position model. The record is from RNAcentral.
AGUGAACGCUGGCGGUAGGCCUAACACAUGCAAGCCGAACGGCAGCACAGUAAGAGCUUGCUCUUACGGGUGGCGAGUGGCGGACGGGUGAGGAAUACAUCGGAAUCUACUUUUUCGUGGGGGAUAACGUAGGGAAACUUACGCUAAUACCGCAUACGACCUACGGGUGAAAGCAGGGGAUCUUCGGACCUUGCGCGAUUGAAUGAGCCGAUGUCGGAUUAGCUAGUUGGCGGGGGAAAGGCCCACCAAGGCGACGAUCCGUAGCUGGUCUGAGAGGAUGAUCAGCCACACUGGAACUGAGACACGGUCCAGACUCCUACGGGAGGCAGCAGUGGGGAAUAUUGGACAAUGGGCGCAAGCCUGAUCCAGCCAUACCGCGUGGGUGAAGAAGGCCUUCGGGUUGUAAAGCCCUUUUGUUGGGAAAGAAAAGCAGCAGGUUAAUACCCCGCUGUUCUGACGGUACCCAAAGAAUAAGCACCGGCUAACUUCGUG